This is a long non-coding RNA of Setaria italica (foxtail millet), 667 nucleotides long. RefSeq lists it as uncharacterized. Lineage: Eukaryota; Viridiplantae; Streptophyta; Magnoliopsida; Poales; Poaceae. The record is from RefSeq and is a predicted model, not a curated record. The transcript has 2 exons.
GCCGAUUUGUGAUUAUCAGUAGAUUUGUGAUUAUGUUACUACUAUCAUUAUUUCAGGGAUCAAACUGAGACGAUCCAGGCCGGCGGAAUGGAAUCUGAUCCAACUGAUUCAUCUAGACGGCAUGAUUCAGAGAUUGCCAUGGGGAGCAAUACCGAUGCUCCAUUGUUAUUGGCUGAGGCUUCUUCACCUAUCCCAUAAGUUGAUUGGAAUACCUUAAAGAUAGUAGAGACACGGAAGGAAGAAUUGAACCAAUAAGUGAGGAUCAGCUAUAUGUGAUCUUGGGCUUGAGGGAUGAAGAUGAGAGGAGAAAGGUGGCUGAACCAAAUGGUCGUACAAUGCGUGAGCAGGGAGAUGAUAAUAUCGAUGGUGUUGCCAUUCCUAUUAGUGAUGCCAUAGCAGACGAGGUAGUGAUUAUAUAUGAUAAGGACCAGCUAAAAAUGGAUCUUGGCACUAUGUACCCAUCAAUGGAUGAAUUUAGGUUGGCUGUGAGGCAAUUUGCCAUUAAUGAGGAGUUUCAGCUAGGCACAAAGAAGUCAUCAAAGGAAAGGUUUAGAGGGUUCUGCAAGUCUAGUUAAGAAUUCUCUUGGAGGAUUGUUGGCAAAAGGCAAGCUGAUGAAAAAACAAUAAAAUUGAAAUAUUAUUAAGUAAUCAACCGUAAUUGUCUUGA